GAUGAACGCUGGCGGCGUGCCUAAUACAUGCAAGUCGAGCGAACAGACGAGGAGCUUGCUCCUCUGACGUUAGCGGCGGACGGGUGAGUAACACGUGGAUAACCUACCUAUAAGACUGGGAUAACUUCGGGAAACCGGAGCUAAUACCGGAUAAUAUAUUGAACCGCAUGGUUCAAUAGUGAAAGACGGUUUUGCUGUCACUUAUAGAUGGAUCCGCGCCGCAUUAGCUAGUUGGUAAGGUAACGGCUUACCAAGGCAACGAUGCGUAGCCGACCUGAGAGGGUGAUCGGCCACACUGGAACUGAGACACGGUCCAGACUCCGACGGGAGGCAGCAGUAGGGAAUCUUCCGCAAUGGGCGAAAGCCUGACGGAGCAACGCCGCGUGAGUGAUGAAGGUCUUCGGAUCGUAAAACUCUGUUAUUAGGGAAGAACAAAUGUGUAAGUAACUAUGCACGUCUGGACGGUACCUAAUCAGAAACCCACGGCUAACUACGU
Molecule: ribosomal RNA, 496 nt
Filed under: uncultured bacterium
Lineage: Bacteria
Description: partial 16S ribosomal RNA
Rfam family: Bacterial small subunit ribosomal RNA
Source: RNAcentral